Molecule: unclassified non-coding RNA, 828 nt
Filed under: Hevea brasiliensis (rubber tree)
Lineage: Eukaryota; Viridiplantae; Streptophyta; Magnoliopsida; Malpighiales; Euphorbiaceae
Source: RNAcentral
CAGCUUUCAAGAGAACAUUAAAAGAAUGUAUACAGACCAAAAGUGACACUACCAUUCCAUAUUCAGACAGCUGAAACAGUUGACUCUGUCACAGUUCCUGAGAAUAAAAAUAUUUCUGACAGCCAUAUGUUUUAUUAUCCAUAAUCCGCAACAUUAUGGAUAUCAGACUGUUACAAACCUAUUCAAAUGAAGGAUAGAAGGCACAUUACUCCACCAAGCAUCCAAAAGAGGACAAGAAUCAAAUUCUAACAACACCAGACCAGGCCUAUUCCUUUCUUUAAGGCCAUACAAAAUGCUGACAUACUAACAUUUAACUUAAAGAAAUCAAUCCAGGUCAGGCUAUUCUUUAAGGUCAUACAAAAUGCUGACAUACUGAUAUUCAACAAUUGCACACUCUUCCCAGCCCCUAGAUAAAAUUGAAGCAUUCAAAAGAAUAUGGCCUAUAUAGAUAAAAUUCUUAACACUAGAUAGAAUUGAAAAAACACAAAAGGUUCAGGAUAAAUAAGAUCAUUAGGCCUAUUUUCAAAAACAAGGAUUAUCAAUUAAUAUAGCUCAAAGUAUUUCUCAGGCUGUGGCUACAUAAACUGCAUUCAACUCCUCACUUGAGCAUACAACUUCAAGUUUUCAAAUCAAAGUUGCAAGAUUUCUUUAAGGAUUACUUUGUGGUAAAUUUACUAUACAGUACAUAUGAGUUUAUACUUCAGACGCGCAAAAGAGAUAUAAGGGCAUGUCCUAAACAUAGAGUAACCCUAAAAGCAAUAAGAGAUAAUGCAAAAACUGUAGAGUGCAUAUUCUAAAGGGAUCUGUGUGGUAGAGCGACAGUUUGUG